UACGUAGGGUCCGAGCGUUGUCCGGAUUUAUUGGGCGUAAAGAGCUCGUAGGCGGUUUCGUAAGUCGGAUGUGAAAACUCAGGGCUCAACCCGGAGACGCCAUCCGAUACUGCGAUGACUGGAGUCUGGUAGGGGAUCACGGAAUACUUGGUGUAGCGGUGAAAUGCGCAGAUAUCAGGUGGAACACCGAUGGCGAAGGCAGUGAUCUGGGCCAGUACUGACGCUGAGGAGCGAAAGCGUGGGGAGCAAACAGG
Molecule: ribosomal RNA, 254 nt
Filed under: uncultured bacterium
Lineage: Bacteria
Description: partial 16S ribosomal RNA
Rfam family: Bacterial small subunit ribosomal RNA
Source: RNAcentral